This is a long non-coding RNA of Zalophus californianus (California sea lion), 3219 nucleotides long. RefSeq lists it as uncharacterized. Lineage: Eukaryota; Metazoa; Chordata; Mammalia; Carnivora; Otariidae. The transcript has 7 exons. The record is from RefSeq and is a predicted model, not a curated record.
GCAGUCCGCUGCAGGAGAGACAGGUGGUAGAGAGCUGCUGAUCGCUCUAGUCCUACCUCGUGUACCUUGCCAAAGGGAACUCUGGAGACUCAGUUUCGUUAUCCACAAAAUGGGGUUAAUGAUUCUUACAUUUUAGAGAUGUUUGGCGGUUAAAAGAAAGAUGUAUCUAAAUUACCUACGUGCCUAGAACUGGUCAGGCCAUGUAAUCCUGAGUUCUCAGAAGUGACUGCAGACUGCGAGGGAGGUGUCAGCCAAGAACUGGAAGAAUGGAGGGAAGACUGUCCCGCUCCUCAGGGAGGGGAAAAGGCUGUCCGUGUCUGCACACAUUGGGGCCAGGCGAGCCUUGACUGGAGCCUCUGCCUGGGGCCGGCGUGCUUCUGCUUGUGGCUGAGGGAGGUGACUUCCGAUGGGAUGUGAUUUCAGGACUGGAAACUUACCUGACGUUCCUGGAAGACCUGGUUCUCCCAGCUGCCAGCCGCCUGGGGAUGGGAGCGCCGGGGGUGAAGCUUCAUUCCUUCUGCUAAAAUGCAAACACACCCAACAGGAUCGUAAAGCUGUUUGCUUUUAUAAGUCGUUUACAUCUCAGUGAGAGCGAGGCUCUGAUUUACCAUGAGCACAGAUUUAAAGGAAAAGUGGAAGAGAAAGGAGCGUGAGGGUGCUUAGAUUUGGGCAAGACAGGGAAAGGGGCCUGUUUGGAAGCAGUGAUGAGACUAAGUAGACGCCCCAGGUGGAGAGGGAGAAGGCAGAAAAUGUUUGUGAGCCUCUAGUGUCCUGUAUUUGUUCCCGAGGUGUGUUCCGUGGAACAGUCUGCUCAGGUACCCUGCAUUUAAGAAGGCUUCCAUGCUCAGGUGAGUCUGACAGAGUCUGCAUGCCACAGUUCACUUUCAGAUAAUCAUUGUCCACACUGGCGUUUUAAAGGACCUGAGAAGUCCUGCAGUGAGCAGCCAGUUUCCAAAGCGUAUUUGACUUCAGAACAGUCUCCACUCCCAUUACACCUGUAAACAGCCUUUGGACUAAGAGAAAUCUCCCGCAGAAGCUUCCAGGCGGGACCUUGGACAGGGCCCUAACGUCCCGCGGAUUGCUGUCUGUCGGGCGGGGUCACAGCCUAGACUAGCGCACGACACGUCCAUGCUGCAUCCGGUGUGUGAGGUUCUGCUGGUCGCCUCUGUCCUGCAGCAGGAAAGCAGGUGAGAUCCUAGCAUCCUGUGUGUCUGGGGUCAAUCCUGGUUCUGGCACUAGUAAUCCCUACUAAGUUUGCUCUGGGUUUCAGCGAGAGCCCAGUGAGAUAAGUGAAGCUCAGGUUUAUUUUAUUACCCUCUUCCCAGCCAGAGCUCUGGGGUGGAUAGGACAACCCCCCAGCCACCAGGGACCCGAGCUCCUCUUUUAUCUGGCUGCGCCAGCGUCCUGAGAGCCCGGUUCCCGCCCCACCCUCUCCGGGCCGCGGGACCUCUGGUCCGGACCUCUGUGUUGCCAGCAGGGGGCAGUUCAGUCUCCCCUGAAGAGUCUUCUCGGUGAUUUUUGCUUCUCUCUCCUUGGCCCUCCCUGACUAGGAAAUGUAGUAUUUGGGAUGGACAUGUUGCCAACCCAAAUAAAACUUUUCAGGAACACGCAUUUCGGGCAGGUACCUAGCCGUGUCUGACACAGGAGCUGCGUAACUUUGGGCAGAUAACGGUAGUGACUUCCCAAAGUCCAUCAGUCUCCUAGGGUUGCCGUAACAAAGCCUCGCAGGCUGAAUGGCUCACGACCGCAGGAGUGUGUUGUCUGGUCGUCCAGGCAGCCAGGAGGCUGAAUCAGCAUGUCAGUAGCGUGGGAUCCUUUGCUGGAGGCCAGGAGGGAGACACCGCACGCUCUCUCCCAGCGUCUGAGGGACACUGGUUGGGGGAGGGAGAACUUCCCCUCCAGCCUCGUGGGGUCCCUGGCUGGAUCUGCACCUGGAGCUGACGAAGACAGGAACGGGAGGGAAGCUUGUAAAUGUAUGGAAUGUAAGUUCUAUGGGAUGCGGGGGGCCUUCGUGAGGAAAUGAAGGCCUGAGGACGUGGUUAGAUGCGUCUGAUGAAGGGGGGACAGCUGUCAGAGGGCCAGGAGUAGGGGGGAGGCGAGCUAAGCUGUGGGACGCUCCACAAGGCCUGGUGUCCCUCUGUGUUCAGAGAUAAGGCUGCUCCCUUCCUCCCGGUCUGGUGAGGGGCCCUCUCCCACGACAGCCCGGUGACCUUCAAGGACACGGGUGCAGUGGGCACGUGGGGUCCGUGACCUUCCUGCCGCUCAAGCUCCCUCACCUUCAAAGGCGCGCUCUGCCCCGGUGCCUAGGUUGAGGAGUGUGUCCCUGGCUUGCAGGCCCAUCGCUGCCGUCUGGCUCAUCGUCUGUGUCUCUGCGUUCAGGGCCCACCGCAGUCUUUGCCUUACACCUGCAAGGACCCCGUCUCCACAGCAGGUCACAUUCCAAGGCUCCACCAGACUGCACAGGAUCCCCGCGACAAUGAAGUGUCACCGGCACAGCCUGACCUAGCAGGAACUCGGAUCUUUCUACCCAGAAGCGAGUGUGAGGCUAUGCACACAUCACAAAACUCUUUCUGGAAGUUGUAGUACAGAAAGGGAGUACCUUUCCUGCCUCCUUUAUGCUUGUUUUUGUGUAGCGUCACGGCAUUUAGUUCUAUAAGCAGGUGAAUCCUCAGAUUUAAACCCGGGCGCACCAGCUCUUGGACUUGAGAACUGUCGCGCACCUGUGCCUUGGGAGGAAGUGUUGGAAUAUUAUCACAAGUGCCGGUAACAGGCAGGGCCUUCUGGGUCAGACGCCAAGCUGGGGUGGUCUGCUGAAGCGCAUGCGGCUCACUUUCUGCAACCCGAGAAUCUUACACGGUGAUGGAGUCUGAGGAGAUUAAACCCAAGGUCUGCACGUUCCCCUCACCGUCUGUCAUUUGACUUGAAAGAUCUGUGGCCCCAAACCCAGGAACACAAAGCAGAAUGGAAGUUGACGUGACCAGAUUUUGUAGUGAAAAUCCGUACCGAAGAUUUGACAUUUUCUGUAUUUGGGGCCAUGAAAUUAAAGAAGAAAAGCCACGCAGGAGCAAGCGCAGGUGGGGAUGCCGCCGGACCGCGGGCAAAGCAUGUGGAAGAGUAUCCAGCCGGUAAUACGGACUCGCGAAAUUCUAGUAUCAGAAUCAUCAUCGUAGUUGUGUCUGUGUUUUCUGAUGUUACGAGUGUGCAUGUGUUAAUGUGAUC